CGCUCAGAGGCAAGCGGAUGGGCCCUCGAAGNUGUCGCGAGAGAAUUCAGCCGAGCGGCGUGCGGCGCGGCCGCGCAGCGUUGUUGCGCGCGCGCGCGUGUGGCGAUUGUCGCUUGCGGCAGUCGUCACCGCGUGUGCGCUGCGUUGUGCGUGCUCGCGUGCCGGCUCUCGGUGCACUCUUCUCUUGUCGCACGCCACCGCUGUUGCUGCUGUACGCCCGCCGUUGGCGUGUGGACGCUCGCGCCGUUUCGCCUUGUGCGUUGCGAUGCGGGACGCUCGCCGUCGACUGCGCGUCUCUCAGUGGCGGUACGCGGUAACAGACCAGACUCGGUCGCGCAGUCGUCGUUUGGCGCGNUUCUAGCGCGCUUCGACGGCGUGCGCUCGCUGGUGCGUCAUGUCCCGUGUGGGCUGUCGCGCGGCGAUCGGCCUCGUGCCGAUUCGGUGCGCGGCGCGUACUGCNACUCGUGCGCCGCUUGAAUGCGACGACGACGACGAAAGCGAGUCGGUGGCGAGUAGNCGGUCUCCUAUCCAUCCCGUCUUGAAACACGGACCAAGGAGUCCAACAUGCGCGCAGGNCGUUGGGUGUUGCGCAUACCCGAAGGCCGAGUGAACGCGAGAGGCGGCGACACUGGUCGCCGCCGUUUGCGGCGAGAUCCUGUCGCUGGUGCGCGCCUUUGCAGGCGCGUCCACUUGCAGGCAGGCGCAUCGCCGGCCCGUCGAAUGCGGUCACGAGCCGCCGACCGGAGCUAGAGCGCGCACGUUGGGACCCGAAAGAUGGUGAACUAUGCCUGGGCAGGAUGAAGCCAGGGGAAACCCUGGUGGAGGUCCGUAGCGAUUCUGACGUGCAAAUCGAUCGUCUGACCUGGGUAUAGGGGCGAAAGACUAAUCGAACCAUCUAAUAGCUGGUUCCCUCCGAAGUUUCCCUCAGGAUAGCUGGCGCUCGUACCCAGGCAGUCUCUCCCGGUAAAGCGAAUGACUAGAGGUCUUGGGGUCGAAACGACCUCAACCUAUUCUCAAACUUUAAAUGGGUGAGAAGUCCGGCUUACUUGACUUGCGCGCGCUUGCGUGCGCUGAAGUCCGGACCGAAGCAAUUCAUCNGGAUGCCUGAGUGCCAAGUGGGCCAUUUUUGGUAAGCAGAACUGGCGCUGUGGGAUGAACCGAACGUCGAGUUACGGCGCCCGAGUGAAACGCUCAUCAGAUCCCGUAAAAGGUGUUGGUUGCUAUAGACAGCAGGACGGUGGCCAUGGAAGUCGGAAUCCGCUAAGGAGUGUGUAACAACUNACCUGCCGAAGCAACUAGCCCUGAAAAUGGAUGGCGCUCGAGCGUUCCGCCUAUACUCGACCGUUGCGGCACGCGCGCUCUCUCGGCGAGAGCGCCGCGCGAGUAAAGCCGCAACGAGUAGGAGGGUCGCGGCGGUAUGCGUCGAAGGGUUAGCGGCGCGAGCCGGCCUGGAGCUGCCGUCGGUGCAGAUCUUGGUGGUAGUAGCAAAUACUCAAGCGAGAACCUUGAGGACUGAAGUGGAGAAGGCUUCCAUGUGAACAGCAGUUGAACAUGGGUCAGUCGAUCCUAAGGCAUCGGCGAAAGCCGUUCAGACGCGGUGUCGAGCUUUAGGCGGCGUGCGUUUNCGCGCGCGCCGCCGGCUGUGUGCGCUUCGCGCGUGCACNGUGGCCGCACCUGCCGAAAGGGAGUCGGGUUAAUAUUCCCGAACCGGGCAGCGGAGACUGGCCGCUCGUUCGGCUGUAGCGGCCCUAGCGCCGCUGCAGUCCGGGGCGGCUCACUGCGGCGACGCAAACGAACCUGGAUACGCCGGCCGGCGCCCUGGGAAGAGUUGUCUUUUCUUCAUAAGGGGCCGACUGCCUGGAAUCGGUUCAGCCGGAGAUAGGCAGAUGGCGCCCGAAAAGCACCGCGGCUCUUGCGGUGUCCGGUGCGUGCCGGUCGGCCCGUGAAAAU
This 1950-nucleotide ribosomal RNA is filed under the name Tanarctus sp. SF-2015. RNAcentral describes it as "eukaryotic LSU rRNA". The stretch from base 464 to 1950 matches the Rfam family "Eukaryotic large subunit ribosomal RNA", at positions 1 to 1812 of the family's 3401-position model. Lineage: Eukaryota; Metazoa; Tardigrada; Heterotardigrada; Arthrotardigrada; Tanarctidae. The record is from RNAcentral.